AGUUUCACCCAAAAAGCUUCACCUAAAAAAGCUUCACCCAAAAAAAAAACUUCACCUCCAAAAAGCUUCACCCAAACAGCUUCACCUAAAAAAGCUUCACCCACAAAGCUUCACCUAAAAAGCUUCACCCACACAGCUUCACCCAAAAAAACUUCACCCGAAAAGCUUCACUUAAAAAAGCUUCACCUACAAAGCUUCACCUAAAAAAGCUUCACCUACAAAGCUUCACCUAAAAAAGCUUCACCUACAAAGCUUCAACACA
This 262-nucleotide long non-coding RNA is filed under the name Malus domestica (apple). Its description in RNAcentral is "long non-coding RNA (MDOM_LNC001195)". Lineage: Eukaryota; Viridiplantae; Streptophyta; Magnoliopsida; Rosales; Rosaceae. The record is from RNAcentral.